RNAcentral lists this ribosomal RNA (550 nucleotides) under Alternaria alternata. RNAcentral describes it as "eukaryotic LSU rRNA". The stretch from base 196 to 349 matches the Rfam family "5.8S ribosomal RNA". Lineage: Eukaryota; Fungi; Ascomycota; Dothideomycetes; Pleosporales; Pleosporaceae. The record is from RNAcentral.
CACUCGUAUGUGACCUGCGGAGGGUCAUUACACAAAUAUGAAGGCGGGCUGGAACCUCUCGGGGUUACAGCCUUGCUGAAUUAUUCACCCUUGUCUUUUGCGUACUUCUUGUUUCCUUGGUGGGUUCGCCCACCACUAGGACAAACAUAAACCUUUUGUAAUUGCAAUCAGCGUCAGUAACAAAUUAAUAAUUACAACUUUCAACAACGGAUCUCUUGGUUCUGGCAUCGAUGAAGAACGCAGCGAAAUGCGAUAAGUAGUGUGAAUUGCAGAAUUCAGUGAAUCAUCGAAUCUUUGAACGCACAUUGCGCCCUUUGGUAUUCCAAAGGGCAUGCCUGUUCGAGCGUCAUUUGUACCCUCAAGCUUUGCUUGGUGUUGGGCGUCUUGUCUCUAGCUUUGCUGGAGACUCGCCUUAAAGUAAUUGGCAGCCGGCCUACUGGUUUCGGAGCGCAGCACAAGUCGCACUCUCUAUCAGCAAAGGUCUAGCAUCCAUUAAGCCUUUUUUUCAACUUUUGACCUCGGAUCAGGUAGGGAUACCCGCUGAACUUAA